Long non-coding RNA from Phyllostomus discolor (pale spear-nosed bat), 171 nucleotides. RefSeq lists it as uncharacterized. Lineage: Eukaryota; Metazoa; Chordata; Mammalia; Chiroptera; Phyllostomidae. The record is from RefSeq and is a predicted model, not a curated record. The transcript is spliced from 3 exons.
CAAAGAGGGAAGAAGGAGAAAACUUUGCUUGCAGCAAAAAUAGCCUCUACAACAAAUGGUGUUGGGAGAGCUGGACAGCUACAUGCAAAAAAAUGAAACUCGAUCACCAACUUACACCAUACACAAAAAUAAAUUCAAGGUGGGUAAAAGACUUAAAUAUAAGUCGUAACA